CCUACGGGAGGCAGCAGUAGGGAAUCUUCCACAAUGGACGAAAGUCUGAUGGAGCAACGCCGCGUGAACGAUGAAGGCUUUCGGGUCGUAAAGUUCUGUUGUAAGGGAAGAACAAGUGCCGCAGGCAAUGGCGGCACCUUGACGGUACCUUGCGAGAAAGCCACGGCUAACUACGUGCCAGCAGCCGCGGUAAUACGUAGGUGGCAAGCGUUGUCCGGAAUUAUCGGGCGUAAAGCGCGCGCAGGCGGCCUCUUAAGUCUGAUGUGAAAGCCCCCGGCUCAACCGGGGAGGGCCAUUGGAAACUGGGAGGCUUGAGUAUAGGAGAGAAGAGUGGAAUUCCACGUGUAGCGGUGAAAUGCGUAGAGAUGUGGAGGAACACCAGUGGCGAAGGCGACUCUUUGGCCUAUAACUGACGCUGAGGCGCGAAAGCGUGGGGAGCAAACAGGAUUAGAUACCCUGGUAGUCCACGCCGUAAACGAUGAGUGCUAGGUGUUGGAGGGUUUCCGCCCUUCAGUGCUGAAGCUAACGCAUUAAGCACUCCGCCUGGGGA
RNAcentral lists this ribosomal RNA (550 nucleotides) under uncultured bacterium. RNAcentral describes it as "bacterial SSU rRNA". It matches the Rfam family "Bacterial small subunit ribosomal RNA", at positions 338 to 879 of the family's 1533-position model. The record is from RNAcentral.